AGGCCCAAAACUUUUUGAGAAAGGUACAUAUGAAAUUCGGUUGGUUUGUACUGGAGAAAGGAAGGGACUAGGGUGAGUGGGAUGAACCUCUGGAAGCUGGCGUACACGUCAGCCAAGCAUUCCUGAACCAUUGUCGUGUCGUGUGUGUUCCUUAACCUUCCGUUGUAUAUCGUUUAUGUUUCUGUGUGUGUCUCUCGCCCCUGCUUGAUUUGCUAUUCUAAUCGAAUUAGGGGUUUCGUCUCAUUAACUUUUCUCUCGGCACGUCCAAAUCCAAUUCAAUGUCUCUCCCUGAUUCUCCUGUGCCCGAUAAUAUCGAGACCGAUCCUUCUGAAGACGAGGAAGAAGUCGAAGAAGAAAUAGAGGAGGAGGAAGCUGAAGAAGAAGUGGAAGAAGAGGAGAUUGAGGAAGAAGUAGAAGAGGAAGAUGUUGAAGAAGAGGUAGAGGAGGAAGAGGUUGAGGAAGUAUAUGAGGAAGAAGUGGAGGAGGAAGAGGUCGAGGAAGUAGAGGAGGAAGAGGAAGUGGAAGAGAUGGAGUUAGAAGAAGAGGAAGAGGAAGAACAAGAAGUAGAGGAAGUGGAAGUAGAAGAAGAAGAAAUAGAGGGAGAAGAAGUAGAAGAAGAAGAAGAAGAAGUAGAAGUUGAGGUAGAGGAAGAGGAAGAGGAAGAGGAAGAGGAGGGAGAACAAGAAGUAGAAGAAGGGGAGGAAGAAGUCCAAGAGGAGGAAGGAGAAGAAGAGAAACAAGAACAAGCAGUGGAGAAUAAGAAAGAAGAGCAACAACAGCAACAAAGAGAAGCAGUGGAGGAGAAGAAGGAAGAGCACCCACAACAACAAGAAAAAGUAACGAAGGAGAAGAAGGAAGAGCAACGACAGCAACCAGAAGAAGCAGUGGAGGAGAAGAAGAAAGAGCAAGAACAGCAACAAGAAGAAGCUGUGGAGGAGAAGAAGAAAGAGCAACAAUUGCAACAAGAAGCAAUGAAAGAGAAGGAGGGACAACAAAAAGGAGUAGAAGCAGUGGGGGAGGACAGAUUGGCGUUGACAGGUUCUCCACCCGAUGCUGAUGAGGGUCCGAAAGAUUUGAGCGUACAUAUGGAGUCUAAGGAGCAAGACAAAAACUUGGGGCCAGAUUAUUCUGUGGCUGAAAACCCUGAAGUAAUUCCACCAUCUAGUGUGCAUUGCAUGGAAGAGAAUGAUGCCAUGCUCAAAAUAUCUGUUCCUUCAUGUGAGAUACUGACAUCGAAAAAGGAAGAGCUUCACCUGAAGUAUGACAUUUCAAGUCAUUCGAAGUCAACAGAAAAUCUGACUAAUGUUGAAAAUUGUAGAAGUCAAGGACUAGAAGUUGACGGUGAAAAUGCUGGAUCCCUUCUGCAGAAGGAAACACAAGAUGGAUACAGUGAGUUAGGUUGCAAUAGCAAGGCUAGUUUAUGUCAUGAUAAUGAUAUUAAUUCCAGGGUCAGGGACACCAAGUCAUCUAGUGUCACUGGACAAGAUAUGGUCAUUGGCCUCCUUCCAAAAGAUUGUAUUGUUGAGGAUGCUAGUGGUGAUCAGAAUUCUAGGAACAAUAUCAAGCAGUUAGAGAUGGAGUCAAGGGAUGAUAUGAAGCAAACACUAUCAAGCAGGACUAGAAGUAUGUCUCCGAGUGCUGAGAUUAAGAACAGAAACAAACGACCAAAAAUUAUAUGUGACUUUUUUGCUAAGGGAUGGUGUAUCAGAGGUAGUUCUUGUAGCUUUCUUCAUACAAUAGAUACUGUGGAUAAGACAGAUCAGGAGGCUGAAGCUGACUUAGUUACUACUCAUCAGAAGAGAAAAUUGAAAGUGGAAGAAGGUGUUAGGGAAAAUGUUCAGAGAAUAAGGAUGAAUGAGCAGGAACAAACUCCUAGUUGGCAUCCAUCUCAAGAAAAACAGAACUUUACGCCGAGGGACAACUUGUUUCCAGAGAAUAGAUUUGCAUUUAGUUCAACAAGCAAUUGUUUCAAUCCAAAGCAGGAUGGAAUGGCUACUCUUCGGAACCAACAUAUGUACAAAGGAUAUGCUUCCACUCUUCUGAGCCAUUCACCAAAUUCAAGCCUGGUUACUCAAUUUCCAGCUUCAAGUAUGUCACUCUCUCAGCGGAUUUCUUCUCAAUCAGCAUGUUCAUUGCCUUUUAGUUCAUCUCUGGGGGCUGGUAAUCUGAACGCUCAAACGCUCACAUCUAAGUCCACUUUCUCUGGUUCAGGGCGGGAAGAUUUUCCUCUGGUUAGUUCUUCCAGCGUUCCAUCUUAUCCCACUGGAUAUAAAUCAAAAAUCUGUUCUUAUGAUUGGGAACCUUCUGUACCCUUCCGGCCAUCCUUUUUUAUUACUCCCAUGAAUGUAUCAUCUCCUGCAGAUCUUUACGACCCUCUUCGAGAUAGCAUAGAGAUACCUAAUAUAGGGGAUGGGUCUUUGAAGGCUUCCCUUUUAAUUCAAGGAUCUAACGUACUGGCUUCAUCACAGGCUCCAAUAUAUGGUGAUUCUGCUGGGAUUGGGAAAUACACGUCCAGUGUUAAUGAUGACAAAAGUUCUGUAUCUUCUCAUAAUAAAUUUUAUGAAAAUGAGCCAAACAAAAAUUCUGUUCCUCAUGAAAAAGAUUAUCUUCCAAAUGAAACAGAGAUAACGUCGGGAACUUAUUCAAACUAUCAAAAUGGUAAAAUUGGCACAGGACAAAAUACCUUUGACGUUGCAGAUAGUACUAAAAAGGAGAGAGAAAUGACUGAACAUGAUGCUAGACGACAUGGUGAAGGAUCAGGGCAUAAAACAAAGAGAGGAGACAGGGAUAAGAAAAAUCAUGAAAUAGAUGUUGACUUUCAGAUGGAUGGCAGCAUGCAGAAGGAACCAAAGGCACUAAAAAUGUUACGUGCAGCUCUUGUUGAUCACGUAAAAGAGUUGUUAAAACCAGUUUGGCAUGAGGGUCGUCUUAGCAAGGAUGCACAUAUUAUGAUAGUCAGAAAAUCAGUUGACAAGGUUGUUAGCACCAUAGAGCCCCAUCAGAUUCCUACCAUAGAUACUGCCAAGCAAUAUGUUUCUUCAAGUCGGGCAAAAAUUGCAAAGCUGGUCAAUGGAUACGUCAACAAAUAUGGCAAAUCUUGAUAUGCAAGCCAAAACACCUUUUUUGUAAAGUUCCUGAUCAAUUGCCUGGUCGUAGUUCAUGAAAAGUUCUGUCUGAGGCUCUCUUUUUCAUAAAGAAGGCAAAGAACACUGCAAGCCGAGAAGAUCUAUGAAAUCUGACUGCAAGCAACAUAAUAGAGAAUGUGUCUGUUGACAACAUUAAGUGAUAGCAAUGUCUUGGGAUAUCAAUACAAAGAACAGACUGCAAAGAAAUCUGAUUUGUUUUGGAUGGCGAGUGCUUGUGGCCGAAGUUGACCAGUGGAAAUAAGCUUGUCAGCUGGAGUGAUCUUGAUUGCACUGACAGCAGAAUUCAAGUUUGCUUUAGUGCUUGUAAAUUCAAAUUCGGUGUCAUUCUUGCUUACCAUGUAGUGUUCAGCCCGGUUAGGAGAAGGGGGCUUUGGCUGAUGGUCUUGAAUAGAAGAAGAAACAAGGCCACUAAAAGAGAUCGAGUCCAAGAAUAUGCAAUGCUAUCAUACGCAACAUUGAAGGUGACCUUGUUUCCUUCCAUUGAUUUGUAACCAAGACGGCUAUGUUGGUUGAAACCUUGUAUAUAUAUGCGGAAACAAGCCAGACUUUGGGACCUCACUAAUUCAGUUGGAAUGUGGUAUGCCGGGUCGAAGUUGUCAUUGUUAUUUUUAUUCUUUUUUGUUGUUCGCUUUUUGGCGUUGGGGAUACGCCCAUACGCAUAUUUAAUUUUAGGGGUAGUCCUGAGAAGUUAACAUGUUGGAUCAAGAAAGAAUGAUAAAUCAUAAUUGGUCAACAUAGAUAAAGUUACACAGGGGGCAUGAUCUGUACAUUACCUUUUAUCUAUCAACAACAUUCUUUGAUUUAUGAUUUAUGAAGUUGCCAAUUGAACUUUAGUUUGUGUA
Unclassified non-coding RNA from Vigna unguiculata (cowpea), 3988 nucleotides. NCBI's taxonomy places the organism in Eukaryota, Viridiplantae, Streptophyta, Magnoliopsida, Fabales, Fabaceae. The record is from RefSeq and is a predicted model, not a curated record.